GUCAUCCCCSCCUAUAUACCGCCGUGGUCAGCAUACCCYGUGAAGGAAAUAUAGUAUGCACAAUGGGUAAACCCCAAAACGUCAGGUCGAGGUGUAGCGUAUGGGGAGGGAAGAAAUGGGCUACAUUCUCUAACCUAGAGCAUUACGAAAGGGGCUGUGAAACCAGCCCCUGAAGGUGGAUUUAGCAGUAGGCGGGAACUAGAGCGUCCUGUCGAAACUGGCUCUGAGGCGCGCACACACCGCCCGUCACUCUCCCCGAGUCUAUUUUUUAAGUCAUAAAAU
This 282-nucleotide ribosomal RNA is filed under the name Galaxias sp. 'northern' (northern galaxias). Its description in RNAcentral is "partial small subunit ribosomal RNA". Lineage: Eukaryota; Metazoa; Chordata; Actinopteri; Galaxiiformes; Galaxiidae. The record is from RNAcentral.